GAACCAAAGGUCUCCCUCUCUUCUUCCUCAAACCCAAGAUUUCCCUCAAAAUUCCUCUCCCACCGACUCUCACACUCCAAAUCGCCCACUUAGGAACCAAGUUCUUCUCCUUCUCCUUCUUCAUUUGGAGCGAUUCGAGCUUACCCUAGACUCUACCCGUCUUCUCCAAAUCGGCACAUCACUUCUCCAAAAUCUUUAUCUUUCCACUA
RNAcentral lists this long non-coding RNA (209 nucleotides) under Elaeis guineensis (African oil palm). RNAcentral describes it as "long non-coding RNA (EGUI_LNC081719)". Lineage: Eukaryota; Viridiplantae; Streptophyta; Magnoliopsida; Arecales; Arecaceae. The record is from RNAcentral.